RNAcentral lists this ribosomal RNA (254 nucleotides) under uncultured bacterium. RNAcentral's name for it is "partial 16S ribosomal RNA". It matches the Rfam family "Bacterial small subunit ribosomal RNA", at positions 524 to 776 of the family's 1533-position model. The record is from RNAcentral.
UACGUAGGGUGCGAGCGUUUAAUCGGAAUUACUGGGCGUAAAGUGUGCGCAGGCGGCCGCGCAAGUCGAGUGUGAAAGCCCCGGGCUUAACUUGGGAAUUGCGCUCGAAACUACGUGGCUGGAGUGUGGCAGAGGAAGGUGGAAUUCCAGGUGUAGCGGUGAAAUGCGUAGAGAUCUGGAGGAACACCGAUGGCGAAGGCAGCCUUCUGGGCCAACACUGACGCUCAUGCACGAAAGCGUGGGGAGCAAACAGG